UGCUAUGUGAGGAUGCAGCACUUUUUCCCUCUGGAGGAAGCAGCUUUCACCUUGGAAGAAUCUUGACCUUGCCAUUCAAAGUCACCAGACAGGGAAUCUGCCAGUGCCUUGAUCUUAGACUUCCCAGCUUCUGUAACUGUGAGCAAUAAAUGUAUGCUGCUUAUAAACUAUCCAGUCUCAUGCAUUUUGUUAUAGCAAUAUAAACAGAUGAAGACAGACAUAAACAUAUCUUUUUGAGAGAUGCAAUGCAACCCAUACCACCAGGAUUGCCACAUGUUUGCUGAUUUCACCUGGUAGCAAGGCUUAGCUAUCUUGGCUUGAAUGUAAUACCUCCAUCUUUUCUCUUGGUCAUCCUCUUUAAGCAGAGGACUUUUAUCUACCCAAGCAGAAUCCUGUGUUCUUGCUAUUCGAAGUGCAGCCCAGCCUCCUGCAGCCACCACAUCACUUGUGAUGCUUGACAGAAAUGCAGACUCUCUGUUCCCACCUCAAACCUACUGACUUGGGAAUCUGCAGCUUACCAAGAUCUCCAGGUGAUCCACGUACACGUCAAACUUUGAAAAGCAGUGGUUUGCAGAACAAAAAGGAUUCAGCUUCUGAUAUGGUUUGGAUUUGUGUCUGUACCCAAAUCUCAUGUCAAAUUGUAAUCCCCAGUGUUGGAGGAGGAGCCUGGUGAAAGCAAUGUAAAAUGAACCUGCUUCCCCUUCAUCUUCCACCAUGAUUAUAAGUUUCCUGAGGAAUCUCCAGCCAUGCUUCCUGUACAGUCUGCAGAAUUGUAUUUGGCAGAAGAAAUUUCUAAGCAGCAAAGCAUGAAAGAUGUGGCCCAGUUGCUUCUAACAGCAUAAUCUCAUGUGUGAGCAAAGAGACGAUCUGAAACUGGAACUUAUAUUUUAAACGGGAGCAGAGCAUGAAAGUUUAGAAAAUAUGCAGCCUGACGAUAUGGUAGAAAAGAAAAACCCAUUUUUCUGGGGAGGAAUUCAAGCUGGCUGCAUAAAUUUGCAUAAAUAAAGAGGAGCCAAAUGUUAAUAACCAAGACAACGGGGAAAAUGCCUCAAAGGCAUUCCAGAGACCUUUGUGGCAGCCCCUCCCAUUACAGGCCUGAAGGCCUAGGAGGGAAGAAUGGUUUCAUGGGCCAGGCCAAAGGCCCCGCUGGAUGGGCCCUGGGACACUGCUCCUUGUGUCCUAGUCAUUCCAGCUCCAGCCAUGGCUAAAAGGUCCCCAGAUACAUCUGAGGCCACUGCUCCAGAAGAUGCCAGCUAUAAGCCAUGGUGACUUCUAUGUGGUGUUAAGCCUGUGCGUGCACAGAGGGCAAGAGUUGAGGCUUGGGAGCCUCCACUUAGAUUUCAGCGGAUAUAUGGAAAUACCUGGAUGUCCAGGCAGAAGUCUGCUGCAGGGUUGGAGCCCUCAUGGAGAACCUCUACUAAGGGCAGUGAGGAGGGGAAAUGUGGGGUUGGAGCCCUCACACAGAGUCCCCUCUGGGGCACUGCCUAGUGGAGCUGUGAAAAGAGGGCCACUGUCCUCCAGACCCCAGAAUGGUAGAGCCACUGGCAGCUUAUACCGUGUGUCUGGAAAAGCCUCAGGCACUCAACACCAACCCUUGAGAGUAGCCAUGGUAGCUGAGCCCUGCAGAACCACAGGGGUGCAGAUGCCCAAGGCCUUGGGAGCCCACCCCUUGCAUCAGUGUGUCCUGGAUGUGAGACAUGGAGUCAAAAGAUAUUAUUUUGGAGCUUUAAGAUUUAAUGACUGACCUGCUGGGUUUCAGACUUGCAUGGGGCCUAUAGCCCCUUUGUUUGGGCCAAUUUCUCCCUUUUGGAUCAGGCAUAUUUACCUGAUGCCUGUACCCCAUUGUAUCUUGGAAGUAACUAACUUGUUUUUUAUGUUAUAGGCUCAUAGACAGGAGUGACUUGCCUUGUCUUAAAUGAGACUUGGACUCUGGACUUUUGAGUUAAUGCUGAAAUGAGUUAAGACUUGGGGGACAGUUGAGAAGGGAUGAUUGUAUUUUGCAAUGUGAGAAGGACAUGAGAUUUGGGAGGGGCCAGGGGUGGGAUGAUAUGGUUUGGAUUGUGUCCCCACCCAAAUCUCAUGGUAAAUUAUAAUCUCCAAUGUUGGAGGAGGGGCCUGGUGGUGGGGGGUGAUUGGAUCAUGGGGGUGGACAUCCCCCUUGCUGUUCUCACAAGAUCUGGUUUUUUAAAUGUGUGUAGCACAGCCAGGCACGGUGGCUCACGCCUGUAAUCCCAGCACUUUGGGAGGCUGAGGCAGGCAGAUCACAAAGUCAGGAGAUUGAGACCAUCCUGGCUAACAUGGUGAAACCCCGUCUCUACUAAAAAUACAAAAAAAAUUAGCCGGGCGUCGUGGCAGGCACCUGUAGUCCCAGCUACUUGAGAGGCUGAGGCAGGAGAAUGGCGUGAACCUGGGAGGCAGAGCUUGCAGACAGCCGAGAUCAUGCCACUGCACUCCAGCCUGGGCGACAGAGCUUGCAGACAGCCGAGAUCAUGCCACUGCACUCCAGCCUGGGCGACAGAGUGAGACUCCAUCUCAAAAAAAAAAAAAAGUGUAUAGCACCUCCCCUUCACUCUCUCUUCCUUUUUCUCUGGACGUGUAAGACGUGUUUGCUUCCCCUUCACCUUCCACCAUGAUUAUAAGUUUCCUGAGGCCUCCUCAGCCAUGUUUCCUGUUCAGCCUGCGGAACUCUAAGACAAUUAAACCUCUUUUCUUUAUAAAUUACCCAGUCUCAGGUAGUUCUUUAUAGCAAUGCAGGAAUGUACUAAUACACCUUCCUUUUAUACUGGUGAAUGAUCCUGGUUGUUGGAAACACAUAAUGCCCUUAGUUUAAAUUGAAAAUUAACCACUAGACAGUCUUUUCUCAAUUAUCCUUCAAGUAUGUAUAGUCCUUCAAUUAUAUUUUGAAAUGAAUUUGAGGUAAAAGCAUUCUGAAGUUAGGAUUUCAAAUUCUCUUAGUUUAAGCAAAAUGACUUUAGUCAAGUCUGAAUUGUCAAGUAAAUUAUAUAAGCAAAACCUUCUAAUAGAAUUGUCUCCAGCCAGUACUCUCCAAGUCUGAAAGGAGUCGGGGAAGGGAGUGAUUAAUCUGGAAAAAAAAAAAGAUUUUUGUGUUGUCAUUUUAGGGGAGAACCAUGAAAUAAUUAUUCUCAAAUGUCAAGUAGAUUUAUUUUAUAUAGUCCCAGAUAGACCACCAGCUAGACAUAAUAGGGAGACAGAUUUAGGAUUGUUACAAGCUUUAAUAUCCUAUGAAUAAGAUUUGUCAAAAUAUGGAACAGACUUCCUUAUAGAAUUGAGAAAUUCAACCAUUGGACACUUUUGUGAUUGAUGGAAAGUCUUGUUCUGAGAAUAAGGGUAAAUCAGAUGCCUUUCAGCAUGUUUCCAACUCAAGGACUUCAUGAUGUGGCAAACUACUCUGAAAAUGUAAACUUCAGACG
Molecule: long non-coding RNA, 3431 nt
Organism: Homo sapiens (human)
Lineage: Eukaryota; Metazoa; Chordata; Mammalia; Primates; Hominidae
Source: Ensembl